This is a long non-coding RNA of Oreochromis aureus, 6398 nucleotides long. The record is from Ensembl. NCBI's taxonomy places the organism in Eukaryota, Metazoa, Chordata, Actinopteri, Cichliformes, Cichlidae.
GGUUUUUACUCACAGACUUCACAGAGUCAUCAGAGGAAACAUGAGAGCGGAAACUUUGCAUGCACAUUUGACAUUCAAAGUUUCCACUCUCAUGGUCACAGUGUAGAGCCUGUUUUAUCAGGGAUAUGUGUGCUGCACCUGCUCUGCUCUCAGGUUUCAGUCUCUGAGUAGCUGCUGUUAUAGCACUAAUAUGACUAAAGUUCCUUUAACAGCAACAGCAGAUUUCCCCCUUUAUUGAUUACAGAAACUUUUACUUCCCUGAAUGACAGGAACAAAUAGUUUCAAAGUUACAGUAUGGUAAAUGUCCCUCCUCUAUCUUUGGUUUAUGUUUAUUUGAACUUGAAGGAAAACAUCACGAGGCGAGGGAAUAAUGUGAUGUUUUCUUUCUGCCCUCCCUUCAUAAAAAAAUGGUCCAGUGUUCAGUGUGCUAAUAGAGGUCAUAAGGGGAACACUGGUGGAUGUUUCUCUACUAUUUAAAUAAUCAAACCAGCUCUGAUUACAACUAAUCUGUGUUGUAUUUGUACCUCAUGGUUGCAGUUUGUGAAUGAGGAAUUCUCAGAGCAACACAGAAAACAGCAGACUAUCUCAUACGUGAAACUGUCGGAGUUUUUGACCUCGAAGACAUGAAGUAGAAGCAGCUGAGCGGAACAGGUGACACCUUAUACACAGUGCUUGUCCUGUUAUCCUCCUGCUCACCUUUGAUAGCUCACGGCAGAUGGCUGCCCGUCCCUGAGUCUGAUUCUAAGGUUUCUUUCUGCUUUAUAGUGCAAAGUACUUUGAGGUGACUGUUCUUGUGAUUUGGAGCUAUAUAAAUCAAACUGAACUGAUAUCAAUUGUUCAUAAAAUAACUGAAGAAUUGGGAAUGACCUUAAGGUUUAAAUAGACACACCGCAAACCAGUUUACCUGCUGUGAAGGACAUCACAUCACCUGUGACCAUAAACAGGCUGCUGAGCCUCCACCUGGUCUGCUGCUAAUGUCUCCGUCUGUGGACUGAAGCCCUCAUAGUCUGUGUUUUGUACAGACACACAGUCAAGGUUAAACUCCACUUUGUCGUUCUGAGGUAUUAACUCACACUCACAUUCUACCAAGCCAAUGCGUUUUGUCUUGUGGCCUUCAUCAUGGACCCUGAUGAAGGCCCGAUAACUGAUAGGAAGCUUCCUUUAUGACUGCUUUCAUGUCAGGUAUAAACAGAUGCUUUAGAUUGAAAUGUGUCUGGGGGCGGGGGGGGGGAUCAACCAUCUUUGAACCUUCAGUGCUGCAGCUUCUCUCUCUCAGACCUGCAUGAACAUGUUGAACAUGUCAAAUUCACUUCUAAAGUAAAGAACCCAAGCAGGAAAACAGACAACAAAUAUCAGAAACUGUGUUAUAUUAUUAUUUAUUUAUUUAUUUAUUGUGGUUUUCUUUUGCAGGAUAGAAGUCAAAAAUAAGCAGGAUACUUUAUUCAUUUUACAUUAAUCCUAUUCAGUCUUAAUGGGGGAAAUUUAUAUUUUAAACAAAUCUGGAACAAGCUACAUUAAAUUUUCAGGCUGUAGCAGAUGUUCACAAAUCUUUCAUUGUCUGCCAAAAGUCCUUGCUUCAUCCUUAUUUGGUUUAAGCCAAUGUUAUUUUCUUUAAUCAGCCAGCAAAGUGGUGCACUGUUACUGAAACAAUGUGCAUUUGAGCCUCCUGCCCUAUGACAGCUGGGAUAGGCUCCACGCCCCUUCUCUCACAACCCUGAGGGAGGGUUGGAAGAAGACUGAUUUUAAAAAAGAAAAGAAAAAAAAGAUUGCUAAUCUCCUCCAUUAUUUAUGAUAACAUCUACAGAGACAGCCAAUGAACCAAAAUAUAGGUACAAGCAUAGUACCUAAAAAAAACUCCAACCCCUGAGCAUCACUGACUUGGACAAGUGGAAGAAGGAAGAUGGAUAUUGGAUUUUUUUUUUAAAAUCAGGAUGCACUUUUGCUAAUCUUCUCCAUUAUCCAAGAUAACAUCUACAAAGACAGCCAAUGAACAUGAAAUAUAUGAACAACCAUAAAAAAAAGAAAGAAAGAGCACGUGGAGCCUAUCCCAUAUCUCAAAGGGAUCUCAGUACUUUGGGUUAUUGUUUUUAAUUUAUUUUAGUUUUAAUUUCAAUACAUGUUACUUUUUAAAUAAUAUUUAUUAUUUUUAUGGUUUUUAAGCAUAGCAUAAGCAUAAGCAUAGGUGGUAUGUGUAAACUUUUGAGACAGAGGGGGAUAACCCAGUGAAAGUUAUGAAUAACUGUGAGCCACUGCUAAAUAAUGUCCAGAAUGUCAAAGAGUCAGAACGUUGUAUAGUAUGUUUAGCUGAGAAACCUGCUUUAGCUUCAAACAUGGCAUUUAUAUUUAAAAGAAAAUAAUUGUUUUAUGUAUAUUUCUCUUGUUUGUAAUUUAUUCCUUCCUAUUAGCAUUUAUAUUUUAUUCCCAGUUGGCGUGGAACACUUACAAUUUAAUUGUACAAUGACAACAAAGGGCUAUUGUAUUCUAAUUGACUCAGUGUCACAGAUCCAGGUUUCUGGGUCAUUAUCAGACAACUCUCUGAUUCAAACAUCACAUCCGUGGAUCUCUAGUGGAUUUUCAGCUCCUCACACAAAGUGAUGAAUUGCAUCGUUCAGGCUGAUGCAUGAUUAUGUUGAUAUAUUUUACUGUUUAUUUUUUUAAUUUAUAUCUAAUUUGUGUAAGUUUUUAUUAUAUUUAUUUAUUUUUCAUUUCAUUUUUUGCCUAACACACACUUUAUUGCACCAGUAGUAUGGAAAUGCUUAGAUCCAUGGAUCCAAAAUCCAAUUCAUUUUCAUUUUUUAUCACCUCUGCUGUUUGUUUUCAGAUCAGGACGAUUAGGUAGUUGGUAAAAUUUCAUGAAGCGCACUUUAUAACGGCUUUAUUCUACAUAGCAGAAGCAGAAUUUUGUGCUAUCCAGGUAACUUUAUGAUUAAACCUGUUUUUUUCUAUACUAAAAAAGUGGUUCACGUCUUACUGGUACAUCAUUAAUCUGGGGGGGAAAAAUGAAUAGCUGCAUCUAAAAAUGUGUAUUUAUUACUGAUGCUCAUCAGAAAAACAAACACUAGAUAAAUUUCUCCUAGUCCCUGUGCAGAGAUUAGAGGGGUCCUCCAGAAACGGUGAUGUUAUUUCAUAGAGAAUUGAUUGCUCAGAAAGCAGUGAUUUCAUACCUGCGGAUCAGGUUAAGAUCCAGAUAUCAGCAGGGAUGAAAUCACUGGCUUCUGAUUAAUAAGUCUUCAGAAAUUACCAUCAUCAUUCCUGGAGGAUCCCUCUGACCUGUGCAAGUGGAGGUUUCACAAGUCUGUGUUUCCGCAAUGAGCAUCAGCAAUAUAUACAGAUUCUUCGAUGCAGCUUUUUUUUUUUUUUUUUUUUUUUUUUUUUGUAAAUGUAAUCAUAAAAAAUUAUUCUAACCUUCUGGCUGCAAACAUUUUGUGCUUCUGGGCUUUCCAAUGCCUGCUAGUAGACUAAAACUACAUUUGAAUCCCACUUGCUCACACACACUCACCAUUUUCCUGUCUUUUGUUCCUGCCUUUAAGGGUCAGUCUUACUGACCAAUACUGUUAAAGCUUACACAUACAAAGUGCUUUUAAUAUUAAAUAUGAAAUCUAAUGAAAUGCACUGCUUUUCAACUCCUUCUACUGUCUUGUUUGCAGCAGCUGUGCUACUUUUCUGUUUUAUGUGUUACCUCUUCAUAUUUUUCUAAUAGUUUAGAAAACAAAACAAAAAAAUAUUGAAAUCAGCCAAUCAGCUACAAUGAUCAAUGCGAUGGUGAGAUAUCGCCCAUGCUACUCCUUUCAUGUGAACCUGGUCAUCCUCAUUGCCAAUGUUAGCGUAAAUUAAUGCAGAUGACGAAAAGGUACCCUUGUGUUAAUUGAACUCUCUUCAGAGUGCAGGGCCCAGAUUCGGGAGCUAGAUCAUAUUUCCAUGUCUCCACUGAAGCUUUGGAACAGCAACAGAGGACUCACAGUUAAGAUGGAAAAAAGCUUUGAAACAUUUCAAAUAGACUCCAGCUCAGCUGGAAGCUGGUAUGGACUCUGACUCUUUUUUUUUCUGUAAAUCAAAAAACCAGCAACAGUGGCAACAAUGAGGACAGCAGCAACUGACAGACCAACUAUUAGUCCAACAGAUCCAUCCUCCUUCCCUCCAUCCUCCUUCCCUCCAUCCUCUGUGUCUCCUCCUGUCUGACCUGCAGGAUCAACAAUCAGUCUGAUGCUCCUGACAGUUUCAGCAGCUCUCUUUCCGCGCUUUGUUCCUGGGAUGAGGACACGACACACGUAUAUUCCAUCAUCAUCAGUAAUCACAUCCUUCAGAAUCAAAGACACGUCUCCAUCCUUCAUCUGUGUGUCAUUCAGAUCCACACGGUUCUUAAAAGAUGGAUGCUGGUAAUCUGGGACAAACUGCUCAUCCCGAUACAAGAGGACAUAUUCUUCUUUCAGGUCAGCUCUACUCCACUCCACACCUAUCAGGUUCUUGUUGUUGUUUGGAGCUCGACAUGUCAGAGUGACCUUCUUUUGUCCAGACUCAGCUGUAAUAAUUUUCAGAUCUGAAAGCGGAAACAACCCAGAAGAGGUUAAAGGCGUUUAAGUACAACUAUUAUUUCAACAGCAGCCAAUCAGAGCUACCUGCUUGAAAGAGGAACCACUAAGCUCUGUGGAGUGACACAACAGUCUCAAAAGCACAACAGUCUUUGGGAGGAGCACUGAAUAACGCCACAUUCUCUAAAUAAACAAACUAUAGGAGACUUAACUGGUGCUUGGAAGAGGCAAGCUUAGGCACAUGAUUCUUACAUUCUGCAAUUCAUCUCGGGCGUUUCUCAAUAUGCGUACUUGUGCGUACUUGCGUUCUCGUGUACUCGUGAUACGUCAUCAGUCGGAGACCAAGUACUGUUCCAAUUCGAAGUAUGCAUCAAGCCGAGAACGCGAAAAAGUCCCGGAUGUGUUCUCGCUCCGCCCGUUUUAUCGAGCAUGCAUCGGUGUGGACUUGGUACAGCUAAAUAUCCCAGAAUGCAUUUCGUCCAAAACUCAACAGCGGACUCCCGGCACAUCGUUUUCAACCCCCCCCGCUCGCGGUCUUCUCACUACUCAGGUUAAAGAAACCCCAGCAGCUGUCUAUAGUAUUGAGUGUCCACUAGAAUAGAAAUAAAAGCGUUCUAACAUCUCACCUGCUUGUUUUUAUUAAGGUAUGUACACGUAUGUACAUGUACACUAUUUUUAUUAAUAGAGGUUUCACUACUGAGGUUAAAAAUGAUAUAUAAGUCACUUAGAUCACUUCUAAAUGUUAAUGUUUGGUUUAUUUCAGUGUUUUAUUUGUUCCUGAGUAAACCGGUUUGGCUGUGAUUAAAGUUAAGCUUCAUAACAUGUUACUCACAGUUAAAUUAAGAGGGGACGGCAGUAAAAACUCCGGACCUGUGACAUCAUCACGUACGCUGGUGUACAAAUCGCGAGUCCGUGCUCGCGUUCUCGGCGGGUACUACUCCCGUGCCUUCUCGGCCAGUACGUACUCGCGUACUUGAGAAUUGAGAAACGGCCCUCAUGUAAACAAUCACGUGGCGCACAGCGUGACGUGAAAAAAAGCACAUACCUUUGACGUUGCGUGACGAAUUCUGUAUUCCUCGGGGGGAGGGGGGGCAUUUUUUGUAAAACAAAGGGGGGCCUAGCAAAAUAAGUUUGGGAACCAACUCCUCGAGAACCUGAUAAAUAAUAGGUGGAUGACUACACGUAUAUCAAGAACGUUAAUUCUGAAAGCUUUAGUGAAAAUAUCUUAAUGUUGACAUACUUAUAGUUUAUAUCCUCCAGACAAAAACUUUUUCCAUCUUUUCAUUUACAGAACAAAAACACGCGGAUUAGAGACUCGGUUUACGCUACAAUAAACAACAGUGCGUGGAACUCGACGGCACACAUAACAUACAUUAACUUAACACUUCCGUACCUUCGGUGGCAGAAAUCCGUUGACAGAGAAACAGCAAAGCCAGGAAGGGCACCAUGUUCGCUCUCAUUUCGUGUUGUUCAGCUCAGUGAGUGUGAUAACGACAAUCACAGCAAACAACUGAAGUUUAAUAAUAAGUUUGAUUAAACUUCAGUUGUAAGCCACCGAAAAGCGACUGAACUGUAGAUCCUGCGACUGGGCGUCUCUCUCUGUGUGUGUGUGUGCUAUUUCGAGACUCGAGAGUCGCUGAGCUGCACCCAUUCCGGUAGAUCACGUGAUCACAUUGCGUUCAAAUGUUUUGCUACUUCUGUUUCUCUACUUCAUUUCGAUGAUAGUUUUUCUUACUCGCAGAUCACUGGAUUUAGUUUUACAUGUUAUUUAAUGACCAACCAGUAGCCUAAUGUUACACAGACAUGUCUGUUGUUGAUAGUAAAUGUAUUCGCUUACAUAACAGGAACUGCUGUUUGUUCUGCGGUGGG